Capsicum annuum is the source of this 228-nucleotide long non-coding RNA. RefSeq lists it as uncharacterized. The transcript is spliced from 3 exons. NCBI's taxonomy places the organism in Eukaryota, Viridiplantae, Streptophyta, Magnoliopsida, Solanales, Solanaceae. The record is from RefSeq and is a predicted model, not a curated record.
CAGGAAAAGAAAGAAGCAGAGAUCAAACAGCUGUGGAGAAAUCUUAAUUUCAAAGCAACUCCCAUGCCCGCGUUAUACCGUGAACCUGACCACCGCUCAGAAAAAACCAAGGUUUCUUCGGGUUCAAAAGCUAAUGUACUUAAUCAACAUAAAAGUUCUUUAUGAAGCUAGAGGAGAAAGUGCAUACCAAAGAGGAAGAAACACGUCAGCUCCAAGCGAGAAAACAGG